UAUCCUCAGGCCACUCAAGAUGACUGUUCUCUUGCUCUCUAUAAAUCCCUCACAAGACUAUCCAAUCCUCUUAAUGAUAGGGCUUAAUCAGUAACUGCCCAGGUGCUUGCCCACUAUCCCAGCCGCUGGUUUCCUUGGUAACUGAUAAGCCAAACUGACUCCAAUUUCACCUGUAAAUGGUAGCCUCCUUCUCCCCAAGUAGCGAAGAUUGCUGCUGUGUCCUUCCUGGUGUCUGCCAUACACAGUGGGGUGUUACUCCAGGAGCUUCUGCUUCAGACUGGAGUUUGUAAGUUAUCACAGUAGAAAUGACAAAUGUUUUUAUCAGUCACCAGUUUGGCAACUAAUGAAGGGACCCACAGCAGUCUUCUCUCCUUUGCCUGAACUCUAUGAGGAACCAGAGGCCUCUUGUGCCCAUUCACCUCCCUCAGAGAGUCUAGACGAAUUUGGAUUGGCCUUCAUAUACUGCGGAAGAAGGAAUGUGAGGUUUUCCAGACCUUAAGAAGUUUUGCACCUUUCACUCAUCUUUUUCUACUUCCACCAUGUGAACAAGCCUCAGCUACCCUGCUACAGAGGUCAUGUGGAAGAGACUGAGGCUCUCCAGCCAACAGCCUACCAAUUGCCCAACAGUAAACAACAAAUGUUGCCUGCCUUCAGCCACUGCAGCUGCCUCUGACAGUGCACCCUGAGUGGAAUUCACAAUGGAGAAAAAUAGGAUACUGGUCUCAGAUAAGAUCAUAUCUAAG
Long non-coding RNA from Globicephala melas (long-finned pilot whale), 743 nucleotides. RefSeq lists it as uncharacterized. Lineage: Eukaryota; Metazoa; Chordata; Mammalia; Artiodactyla; Delphinidae. The record is from RefSeq and is a predicted model, not a curated record.